UACAGAGGGUGCAAGCGUUGUUCGGAAUUAUUGGGCGUAAAGCGCGUGUAGGCGGCUUUGCAAGUCGGGUGUGAAAGCCCUCGGCUCAACCGAGGAAGUGCGCCCGAAACUGCAGAGCUUGAGUACCGGAGAGGGUGGCGGAAUUCCCCAAGUAGAGGUGAAAUUCGUAGAUAUGGGGAGGAACACCGGUGGCGAAGGCGGUUCUCUGGGACGGUACUGACGCUGAGACGCGAAAGCGUGGGGAGCGAACAGG
This 253-nucleotide ribosomal RNA is filed under the name uncultured bacterium. RNAcentral's name for it is "partial 16S ribosomal RNA". It matches the Rfam family "Bacterial small subunit ribosomal RNA", at positions 524 to 776 of the family's 1533-position model. The record is from RNAcentral.